This 252-nucleotide ribosomal RNA is filed under the name Mantidactylus sp. 9 MV-2009. RNAcentral describes it as "partial 16S ribosomal RNA". Lineage: Eukaryota; Metazoa; Chordata; Amphibia; Anura; Mantellidae. The record is from RNAcentral.
GAGCUUCAAACCCAACUACACCCCUAACUCUAUAGCCCCUCAACCACACUGGCCCCUGUAUAGUUGAUUUUAGGUUGGGGCGACCACGGAGUAAAACAAAACCUCCAUAAUGAACGGGCCUACCCCCUUAUCUAAGAACCACACCCCCUAAGAAUUAGAAUACUAACAUAAAAUGAUCCAUUAUUUGAUUAAUGAACCAAGUUACCCUAGGGAUAACAGCGCAAUCCAUUUCGAGAGCCCAUAUCGACAAAU